Molecule: non-coding RNA, 72 nt
Organism: Nematostella vectensis (starlet sea anemone)
Lineage: Eukaryota; Metazoa; Cnidaria; Anthozoa; Actiniaria; Edwardsiidae
Source: Rfam
GAAGUGAUAGUAUAGUGGUUAGUACAUUGCUUUGUGGCCCCAAUAACCCAGGUUCGAAUCCUGUUCACGGCA